UACGAAGGGGGCUAGCGUUGCUCGGAAUCACUGGGCGUAAAGGGUGCGUAGGCGGGUCUUUAAGUCAGGGGUGAAAUCCUGGAGCUCAACUCCAGAACUGCCUUUGAUACUGAAGAUCUUGAGUUCGGGAGAGGUGAGUGGAACUGCGAGUGUAGAGGUGAAAUUCGUAGAUAUUCGGAGGAACACCAGUGGCGAAGGCGGCUCACUGGUCCAUUACUGACGCUGAGGUGCGAAAGCGUGGGGAGCAAACAGG
This 253-nucleotide ribosomal RNA is filed under the name uncultured bacterium. Its description in RNAcentral is "partial 16S ribosomal RNA". It matches the Rfam family "Bacterial small subunit ribosomal RNA", at positions 524 to 776 of the family's 1533-position model. The record is from RNAcentral.